GACAGAGGGUGCAAACGUUGUUCGGAAUUACUGGGCGUAAAGCGUGUGUAGGCGGUCUCAUAAGUCGGAUGUGAAAGCCCCGGGCUCAACCCGGGAAGUGCAUUCGAAACUGCGAGGCUAGAGUAUCGGAGAGGUUGGUGGAAUUCUCGGUGUAGAGGUGAAAUUCGUAGAUAUUAGGAAGAACACCAGUGGCGAAGGCGGCUCACUGGCCCGGUACUGACGCUCAUGUGCGAAAGCGUGGGGAGCAAACAGG
This 253-nucleotide ribosomal RNA is filed under the name uncultured bacterium. RNAcentral's name for it is "partial 16S ribosomal RNA". It matches the Rfam family "Bacterial small subunit ribosomal RNA", at positions 524 to 776 of the family's 1533-position model. The record is from RNAcentral.